GACGAACGCUGGCGGCGUGCCUAAUACAUGCAAGUAGAACGCACAGUUUAUACCGUAGCUUGCUACACCAUAGACUGUGAGUUGCGAACGGGUGAGUAACGCGUAGGUAACCUGCCUGGUAGCGGGGGAUAACUAUUGGAAACGUUAGCUAAUACCGCAUAAUAUUGAUUAUUGCAUGAUAAUUGAUUGAAAGAUGCUAUUGCAUCACUACCAGAUGGACCUGCGUUGUAUUAGCUAGUAGGUGAGGUAACGGCUCACCUAGGCGACGAUACAUAGCCGACCUGAGAGGGUGAUCGGCCACACUGGGACUGAGACACGGCCCAGACUCCUACGGGAGGCAGCAGUAGGGAAUCUUCGGCAAUGGACGAAAGUCUGACCGAGCAACGCCGCGUGAGUGAAGAAGGUUUUCGGAUCGUAAAGCUCUGUUGUAAGAGAAGAACGGGUGUGAGAGUGGAAAGUUCACACUGUGACGGUAUCUUACCAGAAAGGGACGGCUAACUACGUG
Molecule: ribosomal RNA, 505 nt
Filed under: uncultured bacterium
Lineage: Bacteria
Description: partial 16S ribosomal RNA
Rfam family: Bacterial small subunit ribosomal RNA
Source: RNAcentral